GGGGAGGAGGCGGGCGCUGUGCAAGGGAGGCUGGGCGCCGCUACCCUAGCGGGGGGCCUCUGCCGGGCGCGGCUAGCGGUCUUUUCUGCUGUGGUGGCAGCGACGACUGCGGGAGACGGGAGACGCAGGGUCGGAAAUGCGUGGUGGGCUGGGUCCGGCCUUGAGCCAGAGUCCGCUGGGCCUGAGGCGUCCGAGUCAGCCGUGGAGGAAAACGAAGAUGACAUCCAGUUUGUGAGUGUAAGUAGCAGCGGUGUUUGGGUUUUCCCGAGUCAGAGAUUGUGCGGGACAAGCCACGAUGUGAUUUCCCCUCGCCUGUUCACUCAUCGUCCAGCAAACGUGUGGACGUCUCAUACCGACUGGACACUGUGGAGCAGGGCACAGGAGUGGGUAUCAGACUGGACACCGUGGAGCAGGACACAGGAGCGGGUAUCAGAGUGGACACCGUGGCAGGGCACAGGAGUGGGUAUCAGAGUGGACACCGUGGCAGGACACAGGAGCGGGUAUCAGUGGACACCGUGGAGCAGGGCACAGGAGUGGGUAUCAGAUCGAUGUGGACUCGGGGGACCGGGGGACGGGGGCGGGUCUAACUGGACACCGUGGAGCAGGGCACAGGAGUGGGUAUCAGAGUGGACACCGUGGAGCAGGGCACAGGAGUGAAAGGUUGUUUUUGAAUCAUGCAAAGACGCUGGGAUUCUUGGCCCCUGGAGGAGAAGAAUUCAAUCCAGGGCCAGAAACGAGGCGUGAUUGCUCAGAGCUUUUGUGUAAUAGUUUUAUUAAAGUAUAAAGGAGAUAGAGAAAGCUUCUGACAUAGGCAUCAAAAGAUGGCAGAAAGAGUACCCCCCUGCUAGUCUUCAGCUGGAUGUUAUAUACAUACAACAUACUUUUGUAUGUAUGUGAAGUCCCUCAGUUGUGUCUGACUCUUUGUGACCCCGUGGACUGUAGCCUACCAGUCUCCUCUGUCCAUGGGAUUCUCCAGGCAAGAGUACUGGAGUGGGUUGCCAUUUCCUUCUCCAGGGGAUCUUCCGGACCCAGGGAUUGAACCCUGGUCUCCCGCAUUGCAGGCAGACUGCUUUAAUCUCUGAGCCACCAGGGCAGCUAGCAGUCACUAGCAGUCUGUUAAUAAAAGAAAGAAGUGUCUUAAAACUCA
This 1147-nucleotide long non-coding RNA is filed under the name Bos mutus (wild yak). RNAcentral describes it as "lncRNA (ENSBMUG00000013923.1)". Lineage: Eukaryota; Metazoa; Chordata; Mammalia; Artiodactyla; Bovidae. The record is from RNAcentral.